Molecule: ribosomal RNA, 274 nt
Filed under: uncultured bacterium
Lineage: Bacteria
Description: partial 16S ribosomal RNA
Rfam family: Bacterial small subunit ribosomal RNA
Source: RNAcentral
UACGGAGGGAGCUAGCGUUGUUCGGAAUUACUGAACGUAAAGCGCGCGUAGGCGGUCUAUAAAGUUAAGGGUGAAAUCCCGGAGCUCAACUCCGGAACUGCCUCCAAAACUGCUAGACUCGAGUUCGGAAGAGGUAAGUAGAAUUCCCAAUGUAGAGGUGAAAUUCGUAAAUAUUGGGAAGAAUACCAGUAGCGAAGGCAGCUUACUAGUCCGAUACUGACGCUGAGAUACGAAAGCGUGGGGAGCAAACAGGAUUAGAUACCCCCCGUAGUCC